UCUAACCAUGUGAUCAGAGGAGCUAGUCCAUCCGAAUAGUUACCGCGGCAGCAUGUCGCUCCGUUGUCUAGUUAUCUCCUGGUGGUUUUUCCUUGAUGUACUACCCAGCACUCCGAAAAUCCGUCUUUUCCCGCCGUCGGACACUGAGCUGGAACACAAUAGCAAGUCCGUUGUGGUCUGCCUGAUGACUGACUUCUUCCCCGAGGUGAUCAAGGUCGAGUGGAAAAUCGGUGACGUGAAGCAGGAUAAUAAAAUCCAGACGGAUUCGGUGAUGAAAAUGGAGACAAACACUUAUUCGCUCAUUAGCCGACUCGAGGUCACCAAGCGACAAUGGGAGUCGGAAACCAUUUCUUGCCACGCGAAACAUGAAAUGGAAGUCGCAGAAUUAUCGAUUACAAAGGAUUCCAAAUACGAUGUUCCCAUUGCUGGUAAGCCAGUGGGUCCCACCUGCCCGCCGAGCGUCCAGGAAUAUCAGGAGAACACGGAAGAAGGAAUACCAGCGAGCUCACUGCAGGUCGCGACGUUGACAUAUACCAUUCUGUUGAUGAAGAGUGUGUUAUACUGCGGCAUCAUCUCGUGCAUACUUUACAAGAUGGAAUACUGGGGCACGAAGAAGCCAUUGUAACUCGUAUUUUGUACAUUUUGUACAUUGUACAUUUUGAUAAAUGUCUUCCAUUUCAUUGUAAGCUUCAGUCUAUGUCCUCGUUGCGUACAAAGGGAUUGUACAUCCUGUUGCAAAAUAUGUGUUGGCUUGUAAGAGGCUAAUGAAGGCCGCGUGUUGAAGCUUAUAGCCAGGUGAUUACAGAGCAAAAUACAGAGAACGAGCAGCGUUAAUCUAAUGCCAGAUAGACUGUUGUGGGGGUGCCGGUUAGUUGUUCAUCAAAUCACUUUUAUUGCUGAAUCCUUUGCUAACAUUAAUUUGCCGCCUUUGAAAAAAAAAUCAUGUGAUUCUGCAUGUAUCAUUGUAUAAAUCGGACAAUAAACGAGUUAGUAAGA
Molecule: non-coding RNA, 996 nt
Organism: Amblyraja radiata (thorny skate)
Lineage: Eukaryota; Metazoa; Chordata; Chondrichthyes; Rajiformes; Rajidae
Source: the annotation of a RefSeq genome assembly